GCUAUAUUGCACACAAAAUACUAACAGCACUCUGCACUGAAGAUGGCAAACAACAUAUAUGCUGUCGUUGAAUUUAUAGAGGAACAAUUAGUGGAAAUUGUUGCAACAUGUUGGAUUGAGACAAUUGAUUGUGAAUUAUACUGCUACUGGCCACGAAAUAAUGCAUCUCAUAAAUUAAGGAAGCUCGAGAUUCCAGACAAAGAAACUUGGAUUGCUUAUAAAGUCAGAGUUUUCUCAUAUACAGAUUCAGUAGCAAAAGCACAAAAGAUUUUGAAAAGGGCUGAAGAAACAUCAAAUGUUGAAUCCGAUUCAGAUUCUGGCCAUGCAAAAAAAAAGAAGGCGCACAAAAGCCAGUUUAUUUCAAUAUUCAGAAGGCAGUGAUACGGAUGAAGAUAUCUCAAAAAAUGGGAAAAAGAAGUCAGCCCCUACAUCAUCUUCCCCAGUUAUUACACCAUUGCUCCCUGGUGCACCGAGCUUUUCAUCAAAUCCAUCGAAUGAAAUGAGUCUGCCCAUGGCUCAGAGAAAGGGUUUGUCAACCUUCGAUAAAUUUUUAGUGCCCUGAGCAAUCCUCUCACUGAUGCAUCUAGGACCAGUUUAAGUUCUGGUGUACAGAAUGUCUAUGGAAACCAGCCUGAGGCUAUUUUUUAUCAAAUAGCUGCUGAAACUCCUGAAGGCAACAGGAAUUCAUGUGAAAGAAGCCAGCAUUACAGUAUGUGUACUUGAUUUCAUUAUGCUUUACCAAAGAGAAAUAUUUUAUG
Molecule: long non-coding RNA, 758 nt
Organism: Dendronephthya gigantea
Lineage: Eukaryota; Metazoa; Cnidaria; Anthozoa; Malacalcyonacea; Nephtheidae
Exons: 7
Source: RefSeq, a predicted model, not a curated record